AAAUUGAAGAGUUUGAUCAUGGCUCAGAUUGAACGCUGGCGGCAGGCCUAACACAUGCAAGUCGAACGGUAACAGGAAGCAGCUUGCUGCUUUGCUGACGAGUGGCGGACGGGUGAGUAAUGUCUGGGAAACUGCCUGAUGGAGGGGGAUAACUACUGGAAACGGUGGCUAAUACCGCAUAACGUCGCAAGACCAAAGAGGGGGACCUUCGGGCCUCUUGCCAUCAGAUGUGCCCAGAUGGGAUUAGCUAGUUGGUGAGGUAACGGCUCACCAAGGCGACGAUCCCUAGCUGGUCUGAGAGGAUGACCAGCCACACUGGAACUGAGACACGGUCCAGACUCCUACGGGAGGCAGCAGUGGGGAAUAUUGCACAAUGGGCGCAAGCCUGAUGCAGCCAUGCCGCGUGUAUGAAGAAGGCCUUCGGGUUGUAAAGUACUUUCAGCGGGGAG
RNAcentral lists this ribosomal RNA (449 nucleotides) under Salmonella enterica subsp. enterica serovar Thompson. RNAcentral's name for it is "bacterial SSU rRNA". It matches the Rfam family "Bacterial small subunit ribosomal RNA", at positions 1 to 446 of the family's 1533-position model. RNAcentral also lists the same sequence under 2 other names. Lineage: Bacteria; Pseudomonadati; Pseudomonadota; Gammaproteobacteria; Enterobacterales; Enterobacteriaceae. The record is from RNAcentral.